GACGAACGCUGGCGGCGUGCUUAACACAUGCAAGUCGAACGUGAUUUUUAUGGAAAGCCCUUCGGGGAUGGAAAUUAAAUGAAAGUGGCGAACGGGUGAGUAACACGUGAGCAACCUACCUUACACAGGGGGAUAGCCGUUGGAAACGACGAUUAAUACCGCAUGAGACCACAAAGCCACAUGGCUUAGGGGUAAAAGAUUUAUCGGUGUAAGAUGGGCUCGCGUCUGAUUAGCUAGUUGGAAGGGUAAAGGCCUACCAAGGCGACGAUCAGUAGCCGGUCUGAGAGGAUGAACGGCCACAUUGGAACUGAGACACGGUCCAAACUCCUACGGGAGGCAGCAGUGGGGAAUAUUGCACAAUGGGGGGAACCCUGAUGCAGCGACGCCGCGUGAGCGAAGAAGGUUUUCGAAUCGUAAAGCUCUGUC
This 426-nucleotide ribosomal RNA is filed under the name Parvimonas sp. oral taxon 110. RNAcentral's name for it is "bacterial SSU rRNA". It matches the Rfam family "Bacterial small subunit ribosomal RNA", at positions 28 to 437 of the family's 1533-position model. Lineage: Bacteria; Bacillati; Bacillota; Tissierellia; Tissierellales; Peptoniphilaceae. The record is from RNAcentral.